RNAcentral lists this transfer RNA (82 nucleotides) under Parabacteroides sp. RNAcentral describes it as "tRNA-Leu". It matches the Rfam family "tRNA". From Rfam's summary of the family: Transfer RNA (tRNA) molecules are approximately 80 nucleotides in length. Their secondary structure includes four short double-helical elements and three loops (D, anti-codon, and T loops). Lineage: Bacteria; Pseudomonadati; Bacteroidota; Bacteroidia; Bacteroidales; Tannerellaceae. RNAcentral also lists the same sequence under 4 other names. The record is from RNAcentral.
GCGCCUGUGGUGUAAUUGGUAGCCACGCCAGACUUAGGAUCUGGUGUCGAGAGACGUGUAGGUUCGAGUCCUAUCAGGCGCA